Molecule: ribosomal RNA, 1346 nt
Filed under: uncultured bacterium
Lineage: Bacteria
Description: partial 16S ribosomal RNA
Rfam family: Bacterial small subunit ribosomal RNA
Source: RNAcentral
GACGAACGCUGGCGGCGUGCUUAACACAUGCAAGUCGAACGGAAAGGCCCUGCUUUUGUGGGGUGCUCGAGUGGCGAACGGGUGAGUAACACGUGAGUAACCUGCCCUUGACUUUGGGAUAACUUCAGGAAACUGGGGCUAAUACCGGAUAGGAGCUCCUGCUGCACGGUGGGGGUUGGAAAGUUUCGGCGGUUGGGGAUGGACUCGCGGCUUAUCAGCUUGUUGGUGGGGUAGUGGCUUACCAAGGCUUUGACGGGUAGCCGGCCUGAGAGGGUGACCGGCCACAUUGGGACUGAGAUACGGCCCAGACUCCUACGGGAGGCAGCAGUGGGGAAUAUUGCACAAUGGGCGGAAGCCUGAUGCAGCAACGCCGCGUGCGGGAUGACGGCCUUCGGGUUGUAAACCGCUUUCGCCUGUGACGAAGCGUGAGUGACGGUAAUGGGUAAAGAAGCACCGGCUAACUACGUGCCAGCAGCCGCGGUGAUACGUAGGGUGCGAGCGUUGUCCGGAUUUAUUGGGCGUAAAGGGCUCGUAGGUGGUUGAUCGCGUCGGAAGUGUAAUCUUGGGGCUUAACCCUGAGCGUGCUUUCGAUACGGGUUGACUUGAGGAAGGUAGGGGAGAAUGGAAUUCCUGGUGGAGCGGUGGAAUGCGCAGAUAUCAGGAGGAACACCAGUGGCGAAGGCGGUUCUCUGGGCCUUUCCUGACGCUGAGGAGCGAAAGCGUGGGGAGCGAACAGGCUUAGAUACCCUGGUAGUCCACGCUGUAAACGGUGGGUACUAGGUGUGGGGUCCAUUCCACGGGUUCCGUGCCGUAGCUAACGCUUUAAGUACCCCGCCUGGGGAGUACGGCCGCAAGGCUAAAACUCAAAGGAAUUGACGGGGCCCCGCACAAGCGGCGGAGCAUGCGGAUUAAUUCGAUGCAACGCGUAGAACCUUACCUGGGUUUGACAUGGAUCGGGAGUGCUCAGAGAUGGGUGUGCCUCUUUUGGGGUCGGUUCACAGGUGGUGCAUGCCUGUCGUCAGCUCGUGUCGUGAGAUGUUGGGUUAAGUCCCGCAACGAGCGCAACCCUUGUUCACUGUUGCCAGCACGUUAUGGUGGGGACUCAGUGGAGACCGCCGGGGUCAACUCGGAGGAAGGUGGGGAUGACGUCAAGUCAUCAUGCCCCUUAUGUCCAGGGCUUCACGCAUGCUACAAUGGCUGGUACAGAGAGUGGCGAGCCUGUGAGGGUGAGCGAAUCUCGGAAAGCCGGUCUCAGUUCGGAUUGGGGUCUGCAACUCGACCUCAUGAAGUCGGAGUCGCUAGCAAUCGCAGAUCAGCAACGCUGCGGUGAAUACGUUCCCGGGGCU